AAUGAACGUUGGCGGCAUGGAUUAGGCAUGCAAGUCGCGCGGGCGUAGCAAUACGUCAGCGGCGCAAGGGACAGGAACACGUAGACUACCUGCCCUCGGGUCUGGGAUAGCCACGGGAAACUGUGGGUAAUACCAGAUGAUAUCUCCGGAUCAAAGGUGUGAUUCCGCCCGAGGAUGGGUCUGCGUCCUAUUAGCUAGUUGGUGAGGUAAUGGCUCACCAAGGCGAUGAUGGGUAGCAGGUGUGAGAGCACGACCUGCGUCAUUGGGACUGAGACACUGCCCAGACACCUACGGGUGGCAG
RNAcentral lists this ribosomal RNA (301 nucleotides) under uncultured Planctomycetota bacterium. Its description in RNAcentral is "bacterial SSU rRNA". It matches the Rfam family "Bacterial small subunit ribosomal RNA", at positions 29 to 351 of the family's 1533-position model. Lineage: Bacteria; Pseudomonadati; Planctomycetota. The record is from RNAcentral.